GUUUGGGUCUUUGAGAGGUUUACCGUGAUUUAAAUACAGAAAUACUCUGAUAUGCAAUUUCGCACUUCGUUUUCUCUUGAUAUGUCGUAUAAACGUGUAAACAAAAAGAAAAACAUGAUUUCAGUGGAGUGGGCCUCUAAAUACUCUGCUCAAGGUGAUAGAAGUCUUCAUUCUGAUACGUCAAGUGCACAGUUCCCCACCUGCAGAUACUACACAUCACUGCCAUUCCCUCUCCAACUGUGUUACGACCCAGUAUGCCUCCAUGCCCUACACACUACAGACAAAAUCCAAUCUAUGCAAGACAUAGAUAUUCAGACUAUAGCGGCACAGUAUGUAAGUGAAAGUGUAAGAGAGAGAAAGAGAGGGGUAAUGAGAGAAGGACAUCCCCGUUAAAAUAAUCACUUCAAGUGCUCUGCAGACAUGUCAGUCUGAGAGGCAGUCUAGACAGAUCGGCAUACUCUUAUAUACAUUUACCUCCCAACACUCUGCAGCUCGGCCUUCAUACCAUCUUUCUUUUCUUGCCCCCUUCUUCUCCUGAGUUUUCCUCUGCAAAUACUACAACUGAAUUCAUUCAGGGCCAAAUUCCCUCCAUCUCUGAGCCAUCAGGGUAAUUAAAAAGAAAGCACUGGAAAAUAAACAGGCGCCUUAUCGCGGGGGCAAACAGAUGAUAAAACAACUAGUUUUCAAUUGAAGUUUCACAGUUUGUUAAUUUUUUUCACCUAAUGAGGUCAAAUGUUGCUUUUGGGAAAUAUCAAAAUGACAGAACUAAAUGAGGCUGAAUUACCAACAAGCUAAACAAUGAAGAGUUUUGUCUGCACAGAAAAUGACCUUUUCUGUAAAAUACGACAAUGUCAAAUUAUGUACUUUUUUUUUUAUCACUCGCUGGAUCUAAUCAGGUCUUCAUCUCUUCGUGCAGACAACCUCUCCAUGUGCUUUGUUGGCCUUUGGAUGAAGAUAAAUCUUGUCUACCACUGCAGUGUGCUUUACUUUCAUUGAUAGUAGUGUGGUUAGUCAGACAGACUAUUAGGCACCGAGAGUAAUCCCUGACAUUCCUCUGAAGAACAUUAUUCAAACUCAGGCACUCGAGACAGAAGUACAAAACUAAUUACCAGAGAAGAUUGUUUCACGGCUUUGUUGUUGGGAAGCACCGACAUACUCGAGGCCUUCCUCAUAAUAUAAUGAGGGAGAAGGUAAAAACAGUGUGACAGUCUCUGUAAGUGCUACCUGUCAUUACUAUACGGGGGGAGAUAGCGUGAGAAAAAAACAACCUCACUCCUGUGUUUUGUCCUAAAAAAUAACAGAUUUCAUAAAUAUCUUCAAAGAGUGUGGUGGCUUUCCUUCUGCAUGUUAAACAGAAAAACGUCUUAGUGUGCGCUUCUGUUAUCUGACCUCAUUUAAAGCAGGGAAAUUUCUGCAGUGGUUGUUCUUUGAAGUUAACAUCUGCCAAAUGCACAAAGACAAGGAACAGUGUUAAACUGUGAGCAUCUUUUUCUACACGAUCAGCAUAAACGUAUGUAAGAAAAGGCAUGGCUAUAUACGCGCUUAUCUUCUUCUUAAUGAAUCUACUCUCCUGCAAGCUGCAGGAAUAUUGCUUACUGUUGUGAUUUUUCCUUUUCCUUUGGGUAGUGUUCGGUUUAGAUAAAGUAAAGCAGCAAAUUGUUAUAUUUGAGAAGUCUAAUGCAGGGAAUAAAUAUAGAAAAACUGUGUUAGGGGCCAGAUUCCCCAUUGACAUAGUAAAAUUUUGAUCAUAUUAUGCUACAUUUAAGCAAAGAAAAGGUCGCUUCUUUUGGAGUUGAUGG
RNAcentral lists this long non-coding RNA (1799 nucleotides) under Xyrichtys novacula (pearly razorfish). Lineage: Eukaryota; Metazoa; Chordata; Actinopteri; Labriformes; Labridae. The record is from RNAcentral.